UUUUUUUUUUUUUUUUGGUCUUUUUGCCUUUUCUAAGGCUGCUCCCGCAGCAUAUGGAGGUUCCCAGGCUAGGGGUCGAAUGGGAGCUGUAGCCACUAGCCUACACCAGAGCCACAGCAACGUGGGAUCCAAGCCGCGCCUGCAACCUAUACCACAGCUCACAAUUACGCCGGAUCCUUAACCCACUGAGCAAGGCCAGGAAUUGAACCCACAACCUCAUGGUUCCUAGUCGGAUUCAUUAGCCACUGCGCCACGACGGGAACUCCUGUUCAGACGACUUCUGAGAGCAGUUCGAGGUUCACGGUAAAAUGGAGAGCCAGGUACAGAGAUGUCACAUGAACACCCAGCUCCUGCACGUGCAGAGGCUCCUCCACUAUCAACCAGAGGGGAGACGUUUUUCAACCGAUGAGCCCACACAGACAGGAUGUCAUCAGGCUACGUCCAUACACGCUGGGGUUCGUCCUUGCUGCUGGACACGCUGUGGCUCUGGACUUUUUAUCCAACAUUACAGUACCACUCAGAGCCUUUCCACCGCCCUGCUUUCCCUCCGUUCUCUGCUUCUUCAUCCCUCGCCCUUCGCCUCCCCAGCCUCAACCCUCGGCAACCCCCGAUCUUUUUGCUGUCUCCACAGAGUGGGGCCCACACAGCCUUGGAGCCUUUUUAGAUGGGCGUCUUUCACUCAGAAAUAUGCAUUCCCGGUUCCUCCGUGUUUUCUCGUGGUCCGCUAACGCAUGUCUUUUCACACUGGACACUGGUCUAUGGUCUGGAUACACCACGGCGUGUCUCUGUUCACCUACUGAAGGGCAUCUUGGUAGCACCCAAGCUGUGGGAAUUGUGCAUACAGGUGCUAUAAAGAUCCAUGUGCAGGUGUCUGUGUGGAUGUGAGUUUUCAGCUCCUUUGGACAGACACUGAGGAGCGCUCCUGCUGGAUUGUAUGAUGAGAGCACUAGUUUCCGAAGAAGCUUUCAAACUGUCUUCCCAAGGGACCAGACCAUUCUGCAUUCCUACCAGCAGUGAAUGACAGCUCCUGUCACUCUUCACCAACAUCUGGUGUUGUCAGUGUUACGGAUCUCGCCCUGCUGACAGUUUGUGUAGUCGUACCUCGUUGCUGCGGGUUUUGUUUGUUUGUUUGUUUUGGCUUUUGAAUGGCCAUUCCUGCGGCAUACGGAAGCUCCUGGUCCAGGGACUGAAUCCGAGCCACAGGUGCAACCUACGCUGAGGCUAUAGCAAUGCCAGAUCCUUUUACCUCUGCACAGGCUAGGGAUCAAACCCGUGCCCCAACAGCAACCCAAGCCACUGCAGUCAGAUUCUGUACCCACUGUACCACAGUGGGAGCUCAUUAGUGUUUAUUUGCAAGUCCCUGAUGACACAUGCAUGUUUGCCAUCUGUUUUCUAUGCGAUUUCACUGUCAGACAUUGCUUGCAACAUAACAGAAAUACCUGGAGAGAUAUGAGAGAGAAGCUGUGUUUACAGGCACAAGAUUUUGGUCCCCUUACCACUUGGAGCAGGUGGACCUUCUGCCCAGAGCAGGGCAGGAAUAAAGUCAGACCCCAGGCCAGAGAGGGGCUGCCACAACCCUCAUGGAGCGUGAGCAGCGCCCUGAUCUUAAGAGGCUAUGAUGGUUUCUUGACAGUUGGGACAAGGACAAAUAGCCCUAGGGAGUCAGCAAAUAUGGCAACAAUUUGUAUUAAGCUCUAUCUGUAAUCUUGAACUUCGCAGAACACACAGGUCUGUGAAAUCUAAAAGAAUAUUCAAAAUUACUGUGAGAAACCAGGUUUCUAGAGAUAGGAAGCCACAUCUCUCCUCGAAUCUUAUUAAAGGGCUGAAGACGCACAUUCCCAGGUCUUGCAAUUCAAACUGGACACGGCCCUGUGGGGCUCCUGGACACACCAGCCUUUCUGUGUCCCCCAUUUCUUAUUCUUAGGACAUGGGCCUCGAUCAGCCUCCUUGACUUUCUCUGAGUUCCCAGGGGCAGGUUCAGACAGGUGCUGAUCAGGGAAGGGAAGGGAGGCAGAGACCAGGGAGGAGCCGUCUAGGACAGCUUAGAGUCCUUCCUUGUCCUUCUCCGUGGCUUUACUGCACCCUAAACGCAUCACCUGUGAGCUAAGGAUGAGGCUCCCUGAACCUAAUGGCCUGUGGGUUGAAGAUGAAGAGCACAUGAUGUUUUUCGGGAGCUUCCCUGGUUUGUUCUCAUCUCUGAUCACUAGACCCUUUUCUCCAGGACUGUUGUUCUCGGCAAUAACCCAGGAGACCCCCACCUGGAUCAGAGUGAGAUCUCCUGACACCCGCUUCAACGACUAAGAUUCCCCUCAAAGAAAGAAGGAGGUGUAUUUGCCCCAAUCCUAAUCCUUAUCUGAAACCCCGUAUUUCUCCUUUUUACCAUAAAACUCCUCAUAAUUCUUUCUAAUGGGGGGCUUAGUCCUUAGGGCAUUAGCCCGCUGUGACCCUCCUUUGCCGAGCAAAUCAAUACAGCUAUUUUUUUCUCCUUUACCCAAAACUCUGCCUCUGUGAUUCAAUUCAGCACCGGCAGACAGAGGCCGAAUUUCAGCAACAAAAUCACUGUAGUCUCCUAUCAAGCCAUUUAGAAAACUGAUUCUAAUGAGUUCUCUACUGUAGAAAGGUAUUUACUAUCAAUACUGCAGGCAGCUCUAAAAGUAAUGCUUCUUGAAAUGAUUUUAAUAUACUGAUUUCCUGGUAAGACAACAUUGUCAAUCAAGGAUACGUCAAUAAAAUACAUUGUAAAUAAGUAAAUAAAAUUAAGACGACAUGGCAAAUGAACUAUACUUCAAUAAAAUAAAUUAAAAAUAAUAAUAUACUGAUUUCCCCAUCAUUUUGAAAUCUGGAAUUGAUCAUAUCAUGGCUAUUAGGGGUGUACAUUUUGUUGAAAAAAAGAAAAGUUUUAUUCCUGGGAAGUGUAACUCAAUUGCUUGUGCAAAAGUCAAAAGCUAACUUUCUUCUUUUUCCUUUUAGGGCCUCACCUUAAAAAUGAUCUCAGAAGUGUCUAUUUGGAUAAUUAGAACUAGACAAUGUCAGAGUUACCUAUUCCUAAAAUACAUCUUUGGGGGGGGAUUAAGAAAUACAAAGAAGAACCAAAAUAUAAAAAUAAUUGGACAAACAAUAUUCAGAUGAAAUGUAUUAGACAAUUAAUUAUUCUUCCACUGUAGCUUAUGCAUAAUAUAUUAUGCUGUCCAAAGUUAUUCAUUUUCAAGACUCUCCCAUUUUUCGAUAUUCAGAAAAAUAUAGCCGCCAUAAUGCAAGUCAUAUGAAAAAAAAAGUCACUGCUACUGGUAUAAACUGUAAAGUAGACUAUUUGCAAGAUUUCCCUCCCCCCCCCCAUCUUUUUAGGGCUGUACCAGCAGCAUAUGGAGGUUCCCCGGCUAGGAGUCGAAUGGGAGCUGCAGCUGUCGGCCCACACCACAGCCACAGCAAUGCCAGAUUUGAGCCGCAUCUGCAAGCUACACCACAGCUCAUGGCAACACCAGAUCCUUAACCCACUGAGUGAGGCCAGGGAUCAAGCCCGUGUCCUCAUGGAGAGUAGUCGACUUCGUUACUGCAAGAUUUCCUUUAAAGGGAACGGUGGAGAACAGCAGAGACCAUCUCCCCUCCUUCAAGCAGAAGGCACAGAGAUCUCUGAAGCAAGGCCAGGUUCAGCGGUCAACACCAACACCGCCAAGGGCCAAUGGCAGGGAAAUUUUUCUCUAAGAUCUGGUUUGGUGACAGCAACAUAGUUCCAAAUUCCUAUUCAUUUACUGAAAACACUGGUGGCUGUGUGAUGGGAUUUCCAGGAGUCUCAAGUUGCAAGUUGGUUCUUGCAUCAUAUGCUGGUUUGAGAUCCGAAAAGAAGAGUUGCAUUCAUCUUGUAAACAGGUAGAAGCACAGAGCAAAAUACCUCGGCGAUGCAUCGAUGAUAACAAGAUUAAAGGGACUGAUUUAUUCUUGGAGAAAAAUCCCCAAAGUGGUCUGUAGACAUUACGAAUUGUAAAGGCGUGGGAGCUGGCAUGGUGAUAAACCUUCCCUAGUCCCACGAUAACUGCGUGCGUUUGUCAAUCUGUGUAUUAAGCCGGUACGUGGAUGACAGUGCUUUUGAUUAGUAAGCAUAGCGGGUGUCUUGGGGCCAUCUGGAGUUUUAUGGAUAGACACAACUCAACUCAGCCAGGUGGUUUAUGCUCCUCUGAAUGCACACAGAGAAAUCAGUAGCUGCUUCAUAUUACAAAAGUCAGCUUCCUGUUCAAGAGUCCAACUCCAGAUGCUGCUCUUUUUCUUCACCAUGUAGGUGAUGCAUUGGUUCAGAAACGGAGAGUUUCAUGUCAGAAAUACGUGGGGAGCGGUUCCCUGGUGGGUCAGAGGGUUAUGGAUCCAGUGUUGUCACUGCAGUGGCUUCAGUUGCAGGUGUGGCACAGGUUCAAUCCCUGGCCGAGGAACCUCUGCAAGCGGGAGGUGCAGCCGUAAAAAAAGAGCCAAAGAAAGAGCAAAAGAGGAAGGAAGGAAGGAGGGAAGGAGGGAAGGAAGGAAGGAAGGGAGGGAGGGAAGGAAAGAAGGAGGGAAGGAAGGAAGGAAGGAAGAAAGGGAGGUGUAGAAAGUAUAAUGGACUUAGGAAGGCUCAGAGCACUCUCAUUUUGAGGGUGACAAGUGGCCUGCCUCUUUGGAAAGCAGGUGACAGGGGACUUAGCAAUUACUUUCAUUUUUAUGUACAUGGUGAUUUUCUCCUAGGUAACAAGCCAGUAUUUUCCAGGACUUCUUAAAAUCUUUGCAUCAGGUCAUCCUUGGGUGAUCCCAUAAACACACUAUUCCCGAAAGUGUAUCCAUGAAGCCUGGGGCAUUCCCAUUUUGAAAGGCAUUCCGCAGUGACCACAUUAACUCCAAGUGGACCCUGAUCAGUGCCUCUGGUUGAGCAUCUGCAGCAGAGGCAUCAAAACAUACUGAUUCAGGGGUUCCCUGGUGGCCUAGAGGUUAAGGAUCCAGCAUUGUCACUGCUGUGGCGCAGGUUAGAUCCUUGGCCCAGGAACUUCCACAGGCUGCAGGCACAGCACACACACACACACACACACACACACACACACACACACAAAACCAACAAACAGAAAACCGCAUAUAGAUUCAUGUGAGCCAAACCAGCUGUUUGAUAAGCUCUCCCUACCUCCCUCCUUCUACCAGGCUGCUAGAAUCAGGAGUCGAUUCGCUCCAAAUACUGAAAAGAGUUUACACUCCUUAUCCAGAGGAAAUGCCUGGUUUCCAUGAUGCUUCACUUCGUGUCAGCAUUUCAGCCUAAGCAUCAGAGCUCGCUGACGGUGUCCUCGCCAAGCACACGAUUCCUGACUGGAUACUCAAGCUUCUUUCCAAUUCUGUGGCCAGUCAGUAAUCCGCUCAAGGGUUUCUUCAGGGCUUUUACAGCCAGUAUGUGUUCCUUUCUUUGCUAAGUGCUGGGGGUGCAAACAGAAGUAUGACGUGGUUUCUGCUCUCCAGUCCAGAACCAGAGAAAGACUUGCAGACAAUGAAUUCCAGGGCGGUAGGCCCAGGGUCAUGAUAAAGGGAUGUGCAGAGAGCACUAAGAACACAGAGAUGGGACACCCCGCUUAUCUCGGAAGAAUCAGGAAAGAAACCUGAAUGACGCUUUUGUUUGUCAACUUUGCUCAAACAAUGUCUGGGGAAAUCCGACGACCUUUCUUUUUCAAAUCAGGUAAUGACAAGAGUAAAAUUUUCCUGGACACUCAAUCCUAAUCAUAGGAAUUACACUUUCCUUUUCUUUCUUUUUUUUUUUUUCUUUUCACUGCACCGAGGCACGUAGAAGGUCCCAGGCCAGAGAUGGAACCCAAACCACAGCAGUGACAAUGCCACGUCGCCAACCACAAGGCCACCAGGAAACUCCCUACACUUUUUUUUUUUUUUUUGAGUAACAGGAGCCCACGGUGUGCUGAGGAGCCAUGUGGACCAGCCCAACACACUUCUACCAUCAGUAGUGAGACUAAUGCAAUUCUGCAAUCAAAGAAAAGCAUCAGCAUAUUUUGCAAAGGGUUUUCCUGAACCUUGCAAAAGAAGGUCAAAUCCGUCUCUUUCACCCACGAUGUGUGGCAAAUAAAACCGUGAGGACUGCAGUCUCCCGGACAACACUGCAACUUUGGGGUGUCAUACAUCCCCUGGAUCCCCCGAGGCGGUGAAGCCAUUAAUGCGGGGGGACAGGAACGUCCACUGUCCUUUAUUCCCCUCUGAUGUCCUUCAAUGGAAGUGUUUCAUCUUCCAAGAUGGGCACUUCUGAUUGAGUCAGCGGAACGGUACGCCCAAUGAUGAGGAGAAAUGCAAAUGACUGUCACAGAAAACAUGUGUCACACCCACAGCAUCCCAUGGGUACUGAAUACCGACUUCCUGUGUACCCCCAAAAGGCAGACGACUACCUGAGAAGUGUCCUAAUUCUUCAGGGGCAUGUUUAUGCUGAGUUACGCCGACCUCAAUGCCAAAAUCAGAUUUGACACUGGCCGAGAAAGUCUCCACCGACGUUGGCAGC
This 6499-nucleotide long non-coding RNA is filed under the name Sus scrofa (pig). Its description in RNAcentral is "lncRNA (ENSSSCG00050033612.1)". Lineage: Eukaryota; Metazoa; Chordata; Mammalia; Artiodactyla; Suidae. The record is from RNAcentral.